Molecule: ribosomal RNA, 407 nt
Filed under: uncultured bacterium
Lineage: Bacteria
Description: partial 16S ribosomal RNA
Rfam family: Bacterial small subunit ribosomal RNA
Source: RNAcentral
GUCGAACGCUGGCGGCGUGCCUAAUACAUGCAAGUAGAACGCAGUUGCGAACGGGUGAGUAACGCGUAGGUAACUGCCUGGUAGCGGGGGCUAACUAUUGGAACCGCUAGCUAAUACCGCAUCCUCCCAGCUGGACCUGCGUUGUCUGAGCUAGUUGGUUAGGUAACGGCCCACCAAGGCAACGAUACAUAGCCGACCGUAGAGGGUGAACGGCCACAUUGGGACUGAGACACGGCCCAGACUCCUCCGGGAGGCAGCAGUAGGGAAUCUGCGGCAAUGGGGGGAACCCUGACCGAGCAACGCCGCGUGAGUGAAGAAGGUUUUCGGAUCGUAAAGCUCUGUUGUUAAGGAAGCGGUACUUAACCAGAAAGGGACGGCUAACUACGUGCCAGCAGCCGCGGUAAUAC